Molecule: long non-coding RNA, 840 nt
Organism: Leptonychotes weddellii (Weddell seal)
Lineage: Eukaryota; Metazoa; Chordata; Mammalia; Carnivora; Phocidae
Source: RefSeq, a predicted model, not a curated record
AGAAGCUGAGAAGGGCAGCUUGCCAGGAAGGCCUGCCCUGGGGAGCCCACGGUGGUGCGGCAGCCCCGGAAAAGCCAUUUUUAAAUCGUCUGCAUGCCUAGUGCAACAGGGUGGAUCCCCGGAGCGACCGCAUCCUUCCCGGACUCCAAGUUGGAGUUCUCUUUCUACGCAGAAUGAUGCUGACUGAGCUUUCAACACUCCAAAGCAAUCACGUCACUUCUUCAAGAGGCCCCGGGGUUCCUGAAUAAAGGGCAAGCCCUUAGCUUGACAUGCAAGCCAAGCCCUGCUGUAAGCCAGUCCCUGCCUUCGGCUCUGGGUGCAGAUCCCACCAUGCAUUUGGGGCUCCAUGGUCUUCUAUGUGACAGAAGAGCAGGUGGCACCCUACUCCCUCAUCAUUGGUGAGGACCUCUAAGAGCCUCACUCCAGCCCAUGGAGCUGGGGUUCAACUCGGAGAUGACUCUAAAGCCUGUGCUGAAAACAAAGAUUAUUGGGACCCAACUUAGAGAGCAAUUCAAUAAAUUAAAUCGAUAGUGUCAAAAACAUUCAUAGUUCUUAAUCUAUUAAAUUAAAUAUUGUGACAAAUUGCAAAAACAUUAAUAAAUGUGUUAAAGGCAGAGUUCCUUAUAAUAAUAAAAAAUUAGAAAUUAAUACAAAUGUUUAACCAUAUGGGCCUUGUUAAAUCAAUUAUGUAAUGCAAUCAUUGAAAAUAAUCUUUAUGAGGACUUUAAAGUGGGAAACUAAUUGUAUUAUAGCAUGUCAAGUGGAGAGAAAACAACACAUAAAACUGUAAUAGAACUAUGGUAGUCAUAACUGUAAAAAAGGAAAUUUUAAAUGUGUAGA